CCUACGGGAGGCAGCAGUGAGGAAUAUUGGACAAUGGGCGCAAGCCUGAUCCAGCCAUGCCGCGUGCAGGAAGACGGUCCUAUGGAUUGUAAACUGCUUUUAUACAGGAAGAAACACCUCUACGUGUAGAGACUUGACGGUACUGUAUGAAUAAGCAUCGGCUAACUCCGUGCCAGCAGCCGCGGUAAUACGGAGGAUGCAAGCGUUAUCCGGAAUCAUUGGGUUUAAAGGGUCCGUAGGCGGUUUAAUAAGUCAGUGGUGAAAGCCCAUCGCUCAACGAUGGAACGGCCAUUGAUACUGUUAAACUUGAAUUAUUAGGAAGUAACUAGAAUAUGUAGUGUAGCGGUGAAAUGCUUAGAGAUUACAUGGAAUACCAAUUGCGAAGGCAGGUUACUACUAAUAUAUUGACGCUGAUGGACGAAAGCGUGGGGANCGAACAGGAUUAGAUACCCUGGUAGUCCACGCCGUAAACGAUGGAUACUAGCUGUUCGGAGNAUAUGNGUGNGAGAGAAGAGAGUAAGUAAGUACCACCGUAACGGGUAGGUACGGUUACGUUCGUAAGAAAGUUAGUAAACGUUAAAAGUUAAGUUAAGUUAGGUUACGGACGAGAGAGACGACGACGGACGACGACGGAGGAGGAGG
RNAcentral lists this ribosomal RNA (642 nucleotides) under uncultured bacterium. RNAcentral describes it as "bacterial SSU rRNA". The stretch from base 1 to 532 matches the Rfam family "Bacterial small subunit ribosomal RNA", at positions 338 to 873 of the family's 1533-position model. The record is from RNAcentral.